RNAcentral lists this long non-coding RNA (218 nucleotides) under Actinidia chinensis (golden kiwifruit). RNAcentral's name for it is "long non-coding RNA (ACHI_LNC002683)". The record is from RNAcentral. Lineage: Eukaryota; Viridiplantae; Streptophyta; Magnoliopsida; Ericales; Actinidiaceae.
GGGUGAUUCCGGCUUCCGACAAGAAAGAGGUUGAUCAAUUAUUCGAGAAUGAAUUGGUCGCCAAAUCUUUCCAUGCCUUGGGUCAGGUAAUUUGUGAAAAUCUUGGCGUUGUUUCUUUUGACAAAUACUGAGAUGUUAUUUUGGCAGGUGGUCGUGUUCGCCUCUUCUCUUGCCCUCUGUAGCCAGGAGCAUCUCCACGACAUAGACUUCCAUAUGGC